Molecule: ribosomal RNA, 375 nt
Filed under: uncultured bacterium
Lineage: Bacteria
Description: bacterial SSU rRNA
Rfam family: Bacterial small subunit ribosomal RNA
Source: RNAcentral
GAUGGGUGCCCUUCGGGGACCGUGAGACGUGUGCUGCGUGGGUGUCCUCCUCUCGUGUCGUGAGAUGUUGGGUUAUCUCCCACAACGAGCGCCCCCCCUAUGGAUAUGUGCCAGCAAGUAAUGUUGGGCACUCUAUUCAGACUGCCCGGGUUAACCGGGAGGAAUGUGGGGACGACGUCAAGUCAUCAUGGCCCUUACGCCUAGGGCUACACACGUACUACUGUGGCGCGCACAAAGGGGAGCGAGACCGCGAUGUGGAUCAUACCCCAAAACACACGUCCCAGUCCGGAUUGCAGUCUGCAACUCGACUGCAUGAAGUUGGAAUCGCUAGUAAUUCGAGAUCAGCAUGCUCGGGUGAAUGCGUUCCCGGGCCUU